CAAAUACUCUCUCCGUUCUAGAAAGUUUGUCUUAGAUUUAUUUCUAUAUAAAUGUAUCUAGUUAAGUUUUAGUAUUUAGAUACAUUCAUUUAUAGACAAAGCUAAGACAAAAAUUUUGGGACGGAGGGAGUACAAC
This is a non-coding RNA of Hordeum vulgare subsp. vulgare (domesticated barley), 136 nucleotides long. The record is from Rfam. NCBI's taxonomy places the organism in Eukaryota, Viridiplantae, Streptophyta, Magnoliopsida, Poales, Poaceae.